UACGUAGGGGGCUAGCGUUGUCCGGAUUUAUUGGGCGUAAAGAGCGUGUAGGCGGUCCGGUAAGUCCGUUGUGAAAGUCAGGGGCUCAACCCUUGAAUGCCGGCGGAUACUGUCGGGCUAGAGUCCGGAAGAGGCGAGUGGAAUUCCCGGUGUAGCGGUGAAAUGCGCAGAUAUCAGGAAGAACACCCGUGGCUAAGGCGGCUCUCUAGUACGGUACUGACGCUGAGACGCGAAAGCGUGGGGAGCGAACCGG
Molecule: ribosomal RNA, 253 nt
Filed under: uncultured bacterium
Lineage: Bacteria
Description: partial 16S ribosomal RNA
Rfam family: Bacterial small subunit ribosomal RNA
Source: RNAcentral